Molecule: ribosomal RNA, 137 nt
Filed under: uncultured eukaryote
Lineage: Eukaryota
Description: partial 18S ribosomal RNA
Rfam family: Eukaryotic small subunit ribosomal RNA
Source: RNAcentral
UGGUGGAGUGAUUUGUCUGCUUAAUUGCGAUAACGAACGAGACCUUAACCUGCUAAAUAGCCCGACCCGCAUCCGCGGGCCGCUGGCUUCUUAGAGGGACUAUCGGCUCAAGCCGAUGGAAGUUUGAGGCAAUAACA